CUCAUUCAUCAUUAUCAAUCAUUUUUCUAACAUCCAAUCUAAACAAUUUUAAGAAAGUAAAUCCAGGGGCUCCAUCCCUGAGCAGCUGGAAAUGGUUGGAGGAGGGAAAUCACUCAGGGGAAACAGCUGCUGGGGUUUAUAAAAGCAGGAAGAGCAGCAGGGCUGGAGGUUUCCUUGUCCCAGAAAGUGAUUCCUGUGAGGAAUCUGUUUAUCUUCUCUUCUUCAGCCCAUCCAACUGCUGGAACCAGGGCAAGAAAUUUUCUGUCCACUAUCCAAGAGGAGUAGCCUCGUGUGUACCCUGCACAGUGACCUUUCUCUUCAGCAUCAACUUUACAGAGCUCAUUUCCCUGCCAGGCUGACAGGGAAAGAGGAAGAUCCUUGGCCUGCAAAUAUUUGCUGCUUUUCCUGCAAAACACUGAAGAUCUCCAGCACUUCAGAGUUGGGAAACAUUGAGGUUUUUUUGAGGAUUGCAGGAAUGUUUGGAUUAUUUGCCUCUCCAGGGAUUUUUUUUAAUAGGAGUGUUUCCUUGCUGAGGUCAUAUAAACUCACAGGACAAUAUCCUUAAUUUUCCAACGUCUUUUGGAAUCAGAGGAUUCCAACUGAGGCAGAAGGUGACUUUAAAUGGAGACAGGGAAUGUUUUAGCAAACUGGAAGCUAUUUUCAUUGCAAAUUGCUGGUUGCUCCCACAGGAAACAGGGACAUAAUCUGGUCAUGUAUUAGAGACCUCUGCUGACAGGGAACAAUCCCAGGGGCAGGGUGACAGCUCCAUGCCCAGGAUGGAAAAUCCCUGCUUUAUUCCUGGGCUGAGUUGAGAAUUUGCAUCUUGGAGCAUUGAGAAAGACAAGAAAAUCAUCACUGAGCUCAGAGCAACCUCCAGCCCCAAACCCUUCUGUCUCCACCCCAAGGGAGCGGGAGGUGGAAGGAAACAAAGUCUGGAUGCUCGGGAUCCAAGGGGAUCCAGCAGCACUGGUUUUACUGGGAUUUUCUCACAGGAAUGUCUGAGGGUUGUCUUCACAUCUGGCCUUCUGCAGCCCUCUGGUUCCACAGGUUUGGAGCCUGCAGAGCUCAGCAAAUCCCACUUGAAAUGGUGAAUUUCCAGUUGGAAAUCCCUGGGGACACAGGCUGGUUGCAGUAGGGACUUCACUAAUGGCUAAUUAAUUGUGGAAACACAUUAACAGUUGAUAGGCAGAGGGUGGCAGGAAUAACAAUUAAAGGUAAAUUAUCAGCCACAGCUCUGAGCAAGCCCAAAUUGAGAAACACUGAUUUAAUCUCUGCUGAGAGGCACCUGGGCACAGCCUGCCCUGCAAAACUGCUGGGGAAACUUCUGUGCUGCCAAAUUAAGGAACAAUUCCACGUUGGGUUUUGUCCUGUUUUUCUUAUUUUUCUCUAAUCCCUGUUUUAAAACUAAAGCAAACCCCCCAGCACUAUCGGUUAUCUUGCCACAGGAAGAUGCUUUGUGAUUAUCACACAUCCCUCAUGUUUAUUUAGCUCAAUAAACAACACAAAGGCAGCUUGUAGGAAAUGAAU
RNAcentral lists this long non-coding RNA (1527 nucleotides) under Cyanistes caeruleus (blue tit). RNAcentral's name for it is "lncRNA (ENSCCEG00000005740.1)". The record is from RNAcentral. Lineage: Eukaryota; Metazoa; Chordata; Aves; Passeriformes; Paridae.